RNAcentral lists this ribosomal RNA (468 nucleotides) under uncultured bacterium. RNAcentral describes it as "partial 16S ribosomal RNA". It matches the Rfam family "Bacterial small subunit ribosomal RNA", at positions 28 to 507 of the family's 1533-position model. The record is from RNAcentral.
GACGAACGCUGGCGGCGUGCUUAACACAUGCAAGUCGAACGGAAAGGCCCUGCUUUUGUGGGUUGCUCGAGUGGCGAACGGGUGAGUGACACACGAGUAACCUGCCCUUGUCUUUGGGAUAACUUCAGGAAACUGGGGCUAAUACCGGGUAUGAGCUCCUGCUGCAUUUGGUGGGUUGGGAAGUUUCGGUGGUGGGGGAUGGACUCGCUGCUUACCAGCUUGUUGUUGGGGUAGUGGCUUUCCAGGGCUUUGACGGGUAGCCGGCCUGAGAGGGUGAACGGCCACAUUGGUACUGAGAUACGGCCCAGACUCCUACGGGAGGCAGCAGUGGAGACUCUUGCACACUGGGCGGAAGCCUGAUGCAGGAACGCCGCGGGCGGGAUGAAGGCCUUUGGGUUGUAAACCGCUUUGGACUGUGACGAGGCGUGAGUGACGGUAAUGGGUAAAGAAGCACCGGCUAACUACGUG